GGUAAGACCGAGUGAGGAAAGAGAGUGAGACUGUUUUUGACUCAAAAAAAAUCAGGGGUAGGUUGGUUUUGGAUGCAUAGAAGACGAUGAGGAAACUUAUGUGGCUGAUCCUCCGCUUGAUUACUGCCCGGCUAAUUGCUGCUGGCGGUUCCAUGGCUGGAUUUGAUUUUUGCCUUACUCAUCUGAGUCUUUCACUGCUCUAAUUUUGAUUUCUCAAGAUAGCUAAUGGCUAUUCAAGAUAGGAUAGAGUUGGAUUUUGAAGUCUCUUUACUACAAGAAAUGGAUUAUUGGUCUCUGACUAGUGAAAUCUCUCAGUUGAAUUUCAUCUCCAAGGUUGCUAAGUGCUUGCCAUUUGAAUGGAAUAUAAACUUUGGAUUCGCAUGGAUCCACUUCUUUGGGUCUCACAGUUAUUGUUUAGCAAAUCUCAUAAUGUAUGUUUGGAUGGAAGUUUUUAAAAUAAGGGAUUUAGAUAUGAUAGUAGUUCAAAUUAUGUGAAAGAAAAUUUGCACAUUCUUCAAUUGAUUUAUUUUUAUAAAUGUGUAUGGAGCUUAUUUGAUGUGGUUUUGAAAUUACAGUUUUUUAAUAGUAA
This is a long non-coding RNA of Jatropha curcas, 589 nucleotides long. RefSeq lists it as uncharacterized. Lineage: Eukaryota; Viridiplantae; Streptophyta; Magnoliopsida; Malpighiales; Euphorbiaceae. The record is from RefSeq and is a predicted model, not a curated record.